GACGUAGGGUGCUAGCGUUGUCCGGAUUUACUGGGCGUAAAGGGCGCGUAGGCGGCCUGUUAAGUGUGAAGUGAAAUCUCCAUCGCUCAACGAGGAAACUGCUUCGCAUACUGGCAGGCUAGAGGAAUGCAGAGGUAAGUGGAAUUCCUGGUGUAGCGGUGACAUGCAUUGAUAUCAGGAGGAACACCCAUGGCGAAGGCAGCUUACUGGGCAUUAUCUGACGCUGAGGCGCGAAAGCGUGGGGAGCAAACAGA
This 254-nucleotide ribosomal RNA is filed under the name uncultured prokaryote. Its description in RNAcentral is "partial 16S ribosomal RNA". It matches the Rfam family "Bacterial small subunit ribosomal RNA", at positions 524 to 776 of the family's 1533-position model. The record is from RNAcentral.